Molecule: long non-coding RNA, 740 nt
Organism: Amphiprion ocellaris (clown anemonefish)
Lineage: Eukaryota; Metazoa; Chordata; Actinopteri; Pomacentridae
Source: Ensembl
GUUAUGUUGGCCAUGAAUGUGAACUCAUACAAGGAAUAACUUAGCUGUCAAAGUACAAAAACUAUCAUGCAGCCAUUAAAAGUGCUAUGUACAAUUACAGAUAUGUGUAAAAGAGCAUGUUUAAAGUCAAAUCAGUACAGUUAUUAGAGUUAUUGGCACCAUAUAUACACAAGGUAGGCAGACAAUAGUUAAAUCGAGCAGAGAGCAAUGUUUCUAGGAUGAGAUGUACAACAAUGGAGACAUUGUAAAUUAUUUUUGCAAUUUCAACAGUAUUUUACUUUAAUAUUUACAGCAAAAUACUGUUCCUACUGCAAAUAGCAAAGAAUUAUGGGAAAAUAUAAGCUCACUACUGUAUAUGUUCUCUACAGCAAUCAUCCUGCCUGGGAAAAACUGUCGAAUGGCAAGAGAGAGUUUAAAUUACGGCUACAAAUGUUUUUGUGGAACACAAAGUAAACAGACAAAGAAAAAGCUGAUCCAUCACAAAAGUGUACAGAACAUAACAUGGUGCAAGGUUGGGAUUCACAUCUGGACUUCCACCUGUUCGCACACCAUCCGCUCCUAUAUCUGGACUCAUCUGACUUCUGGUUCCUCCUUCGUCAGCUCGACUCCUUCACCUCUUUGUCCUGAAGUCCCCUCCGAAUAUUCACCUGGAUCAUCCACCCGUCUUCCCGACGACGUCUCCCCUCACAUCACACCAGCCGCCGCAGUCCUUACCCCCUGUUGUGCUUCCCAGCUCUCCA